Molecule: ribosomal RNA, 468 nt
Filed under: uncultured bacterium
Lineage: Bacteria
Description: partial 16S ribosomal RNA
Rfam family: Bacterial small subunit ribosomal RNA
Source: RNAcentral
GACGAACGCUGGCGGCGUGCUUAACACAUGCAAGUCGAACGGAAAGACCCUGCUUUUGUGGGUUGCUCGAGUGGCGAACGGGUGAGUAACACGUGAGUAACCUGCCCUUGUCUUUGGGAUAACUUCAGGAAACUGGGGCUAAUACCGGAUAGGAGCUCCUGCUGCAUGGUGGGGGUUGGAAAGUUUCGGCGGUUGGGGGUGGACUCGCGGCUUAUCAGCUUGUUGGUGGGGUAGUGGCUUACCAAGGCUUUGACGGGUAGCCGGCCUGAGAGGGUGACCGGCCACAUGGGGACUGAGAUACGGCCCAGACUCCUACGGGAGGCAGCAGUGGGGAAUAUGGCACAAUGGGCGGAAGCCUGAGGCAGCAACGCCGCGUGCGGGAUGACGGCCUUCGGGUUGUAAACCGCUUUCGCCUGUGACGAAGCGUGAGUGACGGUAAUGGGUAAAGAAGCACCGGCUAACUACGUG